AUUGAACUCAUGUUGUCUUCCCUUUCUUAAGACUUUAACUAAGACUGUUUCGCCUGGUUUCUUUAGAGGAAACAAAUAAUUGAAAUCCACGGGUUCUUCUUCGCGAAAAGGAAUUGCAUGCAUGCAACAAAUAUAAAUCCAUUUCAACAAACACUCAUCAUUGGGAGUAUAGUACUACCCAUAUAUACUUUUUUAGGAGUAUUACCUGUCCCAUUAUUUCCUAUAGAAACACCAUCAAUGGCAAGAAUGGCAUCUUCUUUCUUCAGAAUCCCAUGAGCGCCAGACAGCGGAUACACUUCGUUUAUAAGUACUCCUGUCAUUUCA
RNAcentral lists this long non-coding RNA (324 nucleotides) under Brassica rapa (field mustard). Its description in RNAcentral is "long non-coding RNA (BRAP_LNC007812)". The record is from RNAcentral. Lineage: Eukaryota; Viridiplantae; Streptophyta; Magnoliopsida; Brassicales; Brassicaceae.